UUGUGGAAUAUGAAGACUUAAGCCACUGGGCAACUCUCCAGGAAGGACCACCUCUCUGUUCUCCACUACAGCGGUUCGAGAGCUGGCCGUUGGAAGCUCGUCUUCAGAGGAGGAGAAUCGGCCCAGGUGAGGGAGCCACCGCCAGCCCCCUGAAAGGGAAAGCCCUUCCGAGGGUCCAGAAUGCUUGGGCGCCACGCCCUGCGUGCCGAUUGGCCGUGGCCUAGCUAAGAAAGGGGAAGGUACCGGGAUCGGAAUGCGGAACACGGCAACCAGGAUGGAAAACACAGCAAAGAGCACGAAGAGAGGAGAGGUCUGGAUGGGGGACCUGGGUAGCCUCCGUGGGAUGAGCAUGUCCAGAAAUGGCUGUCUGUGCCAUCAGCCUUAUGGGGACCAACGUGGAUGACUAUUUGAAUGGUGGACGUUCAAGAAACAGUCCUCGGAAGGUGAUGAGGAAAUGCUAGCACCAACAAGCAGAUUCAAGCAUGCAUGGGGAAGG
Pogona vitticeps (central bearded dragon) is the source of this 496-nucleotide non-coding RNA. NCBI's taxonomy places the organism in Eukaryota, Metazoa, Chordata, Lepidosauria, Squamata, Agamidae. The record is from RefSeq and is a predicted model, not a curated record.